UUUUGGCAGUGAUGAUUAAUAUACAGCUUUAAUGCCAGUUCUGCUACUCGAAAUUCUUGAUUGAUAGAGCUGUUAUAACUCUGAACCAUUU
Molecule: non-coding RNA, 91 nt
Organism: Populus trichocarpa (black cottonwood)
Lineage: Eukaryota; Viridiplantae; Streptophyta; Magnoliopsida; Malpighiales; Salicaceae
Source: Rfam